Molecule: long non-coding RNA, 645 nt
Organism: Alligator mississippiensis (American alligator)
Lineage: Eukaryota; Metazoa; Chordata; Crocodylia; Alligatoridae
Exons: 2
Source: RefSeq, a predicted model, not a curated record
UUUAGAGGAAAAGAUGGUGUGUGGGGGUGGGGAGAAGGGGAUAUAACAACAUAACAAAUGAAGUCUCUCUCAUUUUUGUAUGAUCUUGCUCCCUAGUGACUGAAGUGGAGAACAGUUUCUUAGUUAUCUCACAAGACUUGGCGGGACCAUGACAGGAACCUUGUCCAAGUAAAGCUGAUCUGGCUAUGUUAAAACACACUUCACUGGAGAAACUUGGAACGCCUUACUUUGUUAAAGAUAUCUGUCCCAUGCAGCUGUGUGCCUACAAAAAAUUAUAUGAGGCUGCCAUUUCAGUGUGGUGAUAAAGCAAACGGCUUAGGUUAUGUGGGGAUUAUUAACAAGUGUCUUGAGUAAGCAAUAUUAAAAAAAGCUUACUUUCUUCUUGCAAUUAUCUUACUAAUAUUUCCCUUUGCUCAUAUUUCAAGAUUUCUUAGUUGUUGAACUACUUAAGGUUAUUAAUACCCACUGCCAUAUAGCUCACUUGACAUAAUAGCAGAACUGGGCAGCUGAAUUUAUUAACCAACAUAAUCAAUGUUUUGCUGUAAUACAUGGAUUGCCAUGAUAAUUUACAAGUAAACUCCUUUGUACUAGGUAAUAUAAUGAAAUAAAUUAUUCAAAUAAAAAUUGUAAAUACUCCUAGUGCAA